CUCUGACUUUGUAUUUUUCUUUUAUUACAAUUGUUCUUUCCCCUUUGGUCUUUAAGAAACAUUCGAUCAAUAAAAUUGGAUUUCUCCUUAUGGAGGGCUUCUCCACUCCUUUUUCUUUUCUUUCUGCAAUGAGACGCGCAUUGACGCUUUUGUCUCCCGCUGGCAGUGUCCUGUCGAAGCACUUUCCUUGCCAUAGGGAGUUCCGCUGAAGUCUACAAUCCAACAUCUGAGGAAGAAAGUUCGUCAUUUAACAAAAAGGUCGAAGGAGAUGGAGGGUGAACUUCGCGGGUU
This 291-nucleotide long non-coding RNA is filed under the name Elaeis guineensis (African oil palm). RNAcentral describes it as "long non-coding RNA (EGUI_LNC036783)". The record is from RNAcentral. Lineage: Eukaryota; Viridiplantae; Streptophyta; Magnoliopsida; Arecales; Arecaceae.